RNAcentral lists this ribosomal RNA (419 nucleotides) under Geophis godmani. Its description in RNAcentral is "LSU rRNA". It matches the Rfam family "Bacterial large subunit ribosomal RNA", at positions 1911 to 2550 of the family's 2925-position model. Lineage: Eukaryota; Metazoa; Chordata; Lepidosauria; Squamata; Dipsadidae. The record is from RNAcentral.
AGUGAACAAUUAAACGGCCGCGGUACCCUAACCGUGCAAAGGUAGCGUAAUCAUUUGUCUAUUAAUUGUAGACCAGUAUGAAAGGCAUAAUGAGGGUCUAUCUGUCUCUUAUAAUAAAUCAAUUAAACUGAUCUUCUAGUAAAAAAGCUAAAAUAUCUACACAAGACCAGAAGACCCUGUGAAGCUUAAACUAAACUAUUAAACCCUAUAAUAGUUACUUUCGGUUGGGGCGACCUUGGAAAAAAAGAGAACUUCCAAAUAUAUGACCACAACUCACCAACUAGGCCUACAAGCCAUAAAUAGACCCAGUACAGCUGAUAAUUGAACCAAGUUACUCCAGGGAUAACAGCGCCAUCUUCUUCAAGAGUCCAUAUCAAAAAGAAGGUUUACGACCUCGAUGUUGGAUCAGGACAUCCUAA